GACGGAAGGUGCAAGCGUUACUCGGAAUUACUGGGCGUAAAGCGUCCGCAGGUGUUCUCCCCAGUCUGGUGUAAAAGCACGGAGCUCAACUCCGUGUACGUGCCGGAAACUAGGAGAAUAGAGUCAUGUAGAGGUAUCUGGAAUUCCAUGUGUAGGGGUAAAAUCCGUUGAUCCAUGGAGGAACGCCAAAAGCGACGGCAGGAUACUGGACAUGUACUGACACUCAGGGACGAAAGCGUGGGGGGCAAACGGG
RNAcentral lists this unclassified non-coding RNA (253 nucleotides) under uncultured Candidatus Altimarinota bacterium. Its description in RNAcentral is "uncultured Candidatus Gracilibacteria bacterium contains 16S-23S intergenic spacer region". It matches the Rfam family "Bacterial small subunit ribosomal RNA", at positions 524 to 776 of the family's 1533-position model. The record is from RNAcentral. Lineage: Bacteria; Candidatus Altimarinota.